UNUGGUCUGUCACUGACGCUGAGGCUCGAAAGCGUGGGUAGCGAACAGGAUUGGAUACCCUGGUAGUNCACGCCGUAAACGAUGAGUGCUAGGUGUUAGGCCCUUUCCGGGGCUUAGUGCCGGAGCUAACGCAAUAAGCACUCCGCCUGGGGAGUACGACCGCAAGGUUGAAACUCAAAGGAAUUGACGGGGGCCCGCACAAGCGGUGGAGCAUGUGGUUUAAUUCGAAGCAACGCGAAGAACCUUACCAGGUCUUGACAUCCCGAUGCUAUUCUUAGAGAUAGGAAGUUACUUCGGUACAUCGGAGACAGGUGGUGCAUGGUUGUCGUCAGCUCGUGUCGUGAGAUGUUGGGUNNNNNNNCGCAACGAGCGCAACCCUUAUUGUUAGUUGCCAUCAUUAAGUUGGGCACUCUAGCGAGACUGCCGGUAAUAAACCGGAGGAAGGUGGGGAUGACGUCAAAUCAUCAUGCCCCUUAUGACCUGGGCUACACACGUGCUACAAUGGUCGGUACAACGAGUUGCGAGCCGGUGACGGCAAGCUAAUCUCUGAAAGCCGAUCUCAGUUCGGAUUGGAGGCUGCAACUCGCCUCCAUGAAGUCGGAAUCGCUAGUAAUCGCGGAUCAGCACGCCGCGGUGAAUACGUUCCCGGGCCUUGUNC
Molecule: ribosomal RNA, 658 nt
Filed under: uncultured bacterium
Lineage: Bacteria
Description: bacterial SSU rRNA
Rfam family: Bacterial small subunit ribosomal RNA
Source: RNAcentral